CGUACUUGUCGGAGGCUUGACGGUACUGUAAGAAUAAGGAUCGGCUAACUCCGUGCCAGCAGCCGCGGUAAUACGGAGGAUCCAAGCGUUAUCCGGAAUCAUUGGGUUUAAAGGGUCCGCAGGCGGUCUUUUAAGUCAGAGGUGAAAGCCUACAGCUCAACUGUAGAACGGCCUUUGAUACUGAAAGACUUGAGUUAUUGUGAAGUGGUUAGAAUGUGUGGUGUAGCGGUGAAAUGCAUAGAUAUCACACAGAAUACCGAUUGCGAAGGCAGAUCACUAACAAUAUACUGACGCUCAUGGACGAAAGCGUGGGGAGCGAACAGGAUUAGAUACCCUGGUAGUCCACGCCGUAAACGAUGGAUACUAGCUGUUCGUCUAACAUUGGUUAGAUGAGUGGCUAAGCGAAAGUGAUAAGUAUCCCACCUGGGGAGUACGGUCGCAAGACU
RNAcentral lists this ribosomal RNA (446 nucleotides) under uncultured Flavobacteriia bacterium. RNAcentral's name for it is "bacterial SSU rRNA". It matches the Rfam family "Bacterial small subunit ribosomal RNA", at positions 453 to 895 of the family's 1533-position model. The record is from RNAcentral. Lineage: Bacteria; Pseudomonadati; Bacteroidota; Flavobacteriia.